RNAcentral lists this ribosomal RNA (253 nucleotides) under uncultured bacterium. Its description in RNAcentral is "partial 16S ribosomal RNA". It matches the Rfam family "Bacterial small subunit ribosomal RNA", at positions 524 to 776 of the family's 1533-position model. The record is from RNAcentral.
UACGUAGGGUGCAAGCGUUGUCCGGAAUUAUUGGGCGUAAAGAGCUCGUAGGCGGUUUGUCGCGUCUGCUGUGAAAUCCCGAGGCUCAACCUCGGGUCUGCAGUGGGUACGGGCAGACUAGAGUGCGGUAGGGGAGAUUGGAAUUCCUGGUGUAGCGGUGGAAUGCGCAGAUAACAGGAGGAACACCGAUGGCGAAGGCAGAUCUCUGGGCCGCUACUGACGCUGAGGAGCGAAAGGGUGGGGAGCAAACAGG